Molecule: long non-coding RNA, 7452 nt
Filed under: Malus domestica (apple)
Lineage: Eukaryota; Viridiplantae; Streptophyta; Magnoliopsida; Rosales; Rosaceae
Description: long non-coding RNA (MDOM_LNC016881)
Source: RNAcentral
AGAGAGAGAGAGACACGGGGGAGGGAGAGAGGGAAGGAAGUGUGUGGUCCAUCACAACCCUUCACCAUUCGUUUCUUUUUCCUAACUCCCUAACCACAUAAAUUACAAACCAACAUUUUAAUCCCACUUAAUAAUUUUAUAAAAACUUAUGAAAUAAAUGUAUUUAGUCCAAAAGAUAUGUCACACAUACAAAUACCUUAAUACCCGUCAAGGGUAAUUUCGUCAUUUUACGUCCCCGAUAUAUAAAAUCCCGGAACGGGCUGUGACAAUCUCCCCUCCUUAUAGAAUUUCAUCCCCGAAAUUCCUACGACCAAACAAUCCGCUUAAUACCCAUAAAAUAACCUUGGAUACGUCUCUCUCAUUCGAUCUUCUAUUUCCCAAGUAGCUUCUUCUACUGAAUGGUUCCUCCACAAUACUUUCACCAAGCUCAUUGUCUUAUUCCUUAGAACCUUAUCCUUCCAAUGCAAUAUAGUCACUGGUUCCUCGUCAUACGUCAAAUCCGGAUUAAUCUCCAAAGGUUGUGGAGGAAUUACAUGUGAAGGAUCUGAGACAUAAUGUCGAAGCAUCGAGACAUGAAACACAUUAUGUACCUUAGAUAACUCCGGAGGCAAUUCCAACCUUAGGUAACUUCACCAACCCUCUCGGUGAUCUUAUAAGGUCCUAUGUACCUAGGACUUAAUUUGCCUUUCUUUCCAAAUCGCACCACACCUCUCCAAGGUGAUAAUUUCAAAAAUACAAAAUCACCCACAUUAUACAUUCUAUCAAUGGCAUGUCGAUCCGCUAAGCUCUUCUGUCGAUCCUAGGCCGCUUCCAGGUUAGACUUAAUCACCUGAAUAUUCUGAGUAGUCUCAUCCACAAUCUCUGGGCCUUCUAAGACUCUUUCGCCAACGUCUGACCAACAUAAUGGUGUACGACAAGCUCUACCAUAAAGUGCCUCAAAUGGUGACAUACCAAUGCUCGAAUGAAAACUAUUAUUAUAGGAAAAUUCCAUCAAGUCUAGGUGGUCAUGCCAAGAAUCACCAAACUGUAACACUGAAGAUCUCAACAUAUCCUCCAACGUCUAAAUAGUCUCUCUGAUUGACCAUCGGUUUGAGGAUGAUAAGCAGUGCUGUAAAGCAGUUUCGUACCAAGAGCUUCCUGAAAAGCUACCCAAAACUUAGAAGUAAACCUUGGAUCUCGAUCAGAAAUAAUAUUCACUGGAACUCCAUGAUACUUCACAAUCUUCGUGAUGAACAACUUAGCUAAUUUAUUCAGGGGAUACUUUUCCCUCACUGGAAUGAAGUGCGCUGACUUGGUAAGGCGAUCCACAAUUACCCAAACACCAUCAAAUCCAUUUCGUGUACGAAGGAGCUUAUGCAUGAAAUCCAUAGUUAUAUUUUCCCAUUUCCACUGAGGAACAGGAAGUGGUUGCAUUCGCCCAAAAGGCUUCUUUCUUUCAGCUUUAACUUGCUGACAAACAAUACACCUACUUACAUAUUCAGCAAUUUCUCUCUUCAUACCGACCAAUAAUAAAAUGGUCGAAUGGUAUGGUACAUCUUAGUUCCUCCUGGGUGGAUCGCAUAAGCUGAACAAUGUGCUUCAUCCAAAAUUUCUUUCUUUAAUGCCUCAUUAUUCGGCACAUACAUUCUGUUCUCCUUCAUAAGCAUGCCAUCUGAUUCUCGAAUUCUGAGGUCUUCUUUUUCCUUUCAUUUCUCAAUUGAAUCAUUUCUUGAAUUUCUUCAUCAACCAUCUGAGCUUCAAGUACACGAUCAACCAAAACUGGCUUGACUUGGAAACUGGCAAAAAAAGCUUCUCUUCGAUCUUCUAAGUCCAACUUUACUCCAGUAGCCCUCAGUUCUGCAAGAAGAGGGACAUGGCAAGCAUACAAAGCAUAAAGGCGACCUUGAGGUUUCCUACUCAGUGCAUCAGUUACUACGUUAGCGCGACCCGGAUGAUACUCAAUAAUGCAGUCAUAAUCACUUAGCAAUUCCAUCCACCUUCGUUGAUGAAGAUUAAGAUCAUGCUGAGUAAAUAAAUACUGAAGACUCUUAUGAUCUGUGAAGAUCUUACACUUCUCACCAUAAAGAUAAUGCCUCCAAAUCUUCAAAGCAAAAACAAUGGCUGCCAAUUCAAGAUCGUGAGUAGGAUAAUUCCUUUCAUGAAUCUUCAACUGUUGAGAGGCAUAGGCGAUCACUCUAUUAUGCUGCAUCAAAACGCAUCCUAAACCAUUCAAAGAGGCAUCACUGUAAAUUUCAAAGUUACCACUAUCAUCAGGAAGUACCAAUACUGGAGCAUGAGUGAGACAAUAUUUCAAUUGCUGGAAACUUUGCUCACAAUUCUCAUCCCACUCAAACUUAACAUCCUUCCUGGUUAACUUCGUUAAUGGCAAAGCAAUCAUAGAAAAAUCUUGAACAAACCGUAGAUAAUAACCUGCUAGACCAAGAAAACUCCGUACCUCAGUGACGGUUCGCGGUUGUUCCCAAUUUUCCACUGUUGCUAUCUUUUGAGGAUCUACUUGAAUUCCUUGUGCCGACACUACAUGCCCCAAAAAUGCCACUUCAUUUAACCAAAACUGACAUUUACUGAACUUGGCAUACAACUGGUGUUCCCUCAAUUCUUUAAUACCAAGUUAAGAUGUCGAAUAUGAUCUGCUUUAAACUUAGAGUAUACCAGAAUAUCAUCGAUAAAAACAAUAACAAAUUUAUCAAGAUAUUGUUGGAAUACCUCAUUCAUUAACCUCAUGAAAGCUGCAGGUGCAUUAGUCAAUCCAAAUGGCAUCACCAGAAAUUCAUAAUGUCCGUAACGGGUCCUGAAAGCCGUCUUAGGUACAUCUUCAUCUUUAAUCUUCAACUGAUAAUAACCAGAUCUCAAAUCAAUCUUAGAGAACACACAUGCACCUUUCAGCUGAUCAAACAAGUCAUCAAUGCGAGGCAAUGGAUAACGGUUUUUAAUUGUCACCCGAUUCAAUUGCCUAUAAUCGAUGCAUAAUCUCAGGGUUCCAUAUUUCUUUCUCACAAAUAAUACCGGAGCUCCCCUAGGUGACCUACUAGGUUGAAUGAAACCUUUAUCAAGUAAUUCUUGUAACUGAAUUUUCAACUCUCUCAGUUCAGCUGGAGCCAUUCUGUAUGGAGUUAAAGAUAUAAGAUCUGUACCUGGAAGCAAAUCAAUGGAAAAUUCCACAUCUCUGUCUGGCGGCAAUCCCGGCAAAUCAUCUGGAAAUACAUCAGAAUAGUGCCUGUCUACUCCAACUUCCUCUACAUUGCUAGGAACAACAUCAUUUAACACCACAUGUGCUAAGUAUCCUUGACAACCCUUCGAUAAUAACUUCUUUGCUCUCAUGGCAGAAAUAACACCAUGUCUCACCCCACUUCUUUCACCCACAAAAGUAACCUCUGGUAAUCCAGGACGAUAAAAGGUAACAGAUUUCCCGUAACAAUCAAUAUGGGCAUGAUUAUAAUGCAACCAAUCUGCCCCUCGAAUCACAUAAAAAUCCAAAAUAUCUAACGAGAUAAGAUUAGUUGGCAUAACUACACCCUCUACCAUCACUGGACAUCCAAGAUAGACACUAUCAACAUAACAUUUAUCCCCUAUAGGCAUGGCAAAUUCUAAAUCCAAUCCUAGAGGCAAAGGGUGAGGUUGAGUCAUUUGAGCAAACGUAUGAGAAAUCACAGAAUGUGUCGCACCACAAUCAAUCAAAACUCUAGCAAAAUGACCAAGAAUAUUUAACGUACCCAUGAUCAAAUCUGGAUGGUUCUGAGCAUCUUGCAGUGAUAUGUGAUUAACACGUCCCUGAGUUUGAUCUCGUCCACCACGACCUCUGUUGCCUUGGUUACCUCGCCCCUGAGAAGUACGUCCCUGUCCUGACUGAUUAGACUGCCUAGAUGAUCCUGCACCACUGGCAGCAACCUCUCCCUGUCGGGGCUGACCUCCCUGGUGCCACUGAGAUCUACUAGCUGGCAUGGAAGAAUAAGAAGGAAAACCCCCAGGGUCUUGGGAAUACCUACUACGAGAAUAAGGAUCUAGGGAAUACUGAUACUGUCCUGGAGCAUAAGGAGCAACAUCACCUUGGUAAUGGUAAGCACCACCACGACCCGUCUAACCAUAACUGCCUGAACCAAAGCUUUGCUGAGUCGGUGCUGGAGGUGGCAUAACAGGCUGCUGAGGCCUUUGCUGACUCUAGGGACACUGUGCCGCUCGAUGUCCCGUUUGUCCACAAGUGUAGCACGCCCCACUAUUCCUCAUACACUCUCCCUGAUGUCUGAAGUUACAACGGCGGCACAACGGAGCACCAGAUCCACCAGCACUACCAAAAUCUCUCUGUCUCUGAAAUCUAGCCCCGCCAGCAAAUCUUCCACCUCUUCUCAGGCCUGUGACACUAAAUACUCCACUGGAAGAACUUGAACUCGGUCCACUUUUCUUAAAAUUCUGUGUCUUACGGGGUCCUUGAGUGGAGAUACCCUUGCCCUUAUCAUCUUUCUUCUGACCAUCAUUCUUGUCCUCAUCAUCCUCACUGUCACUAGGAAGGUUGUUAGGAUCCUCCAUCCGAACCAAGAUCUCGAAAAACUCAUGAUAAUCAUUGCAAGGAAGUGCAGUAGCAAAAGUUCGCCAUUUCCUCUUAGUUCCCAACUUGAAACGGCGAAGCUUCUCUACCUGAUUACCAGAUGUAUCAGGAUCAUAACGAGACAAGUCUGUAAACUUCCUGUAAUACUCAUGUGUUGACAUAUUCUUUUGCUUCAAUCGAGUGAACUCCUACUUCUUGCGAUCAAUGUACUCCGGAGGGAUAAAUCUUUUCUUAAAAUGUUCCUUGAAUACUUCCCAAUCAGCUGCCAUCUCAGGGGACAUAAACUGAGUUUGAUUUUUCCACCAACCUGCAGGCUCUCGUCCCAAAAACCAAGUAGUGGUCUCAACCCAUCUAUUAGCAGGAAAAUUUCCUUGACUCUGCAUCACCUGAAAAGUCAUCUCAAUACGGUCUAGCCAUUUUUCUGCCCCUUCAUGACCUUCAUUACCCAUAAAAUGAUCCAAUUUCAAAUUAUACAUAGUCUCCAGGGGUAUCAUCUGAGGAGAAGGAGGAAGGCGGAUUGCAUUCUGAAAGGCCUGGGCCAUCGCUUCCCCUAGUUGAGUUAUAUCAGGGAAAUUAGGUUCAGAAGCACGGCGUGACUCUCUACGAGGCGGCAUAAUUCUGACAGAAAACAUUAAAAGAUCAUUAGAGCAUUAACAAUUAUACAAGACUGCAACCUAGGCUUUGAUACCAAACUGACACACCCCGACCCAGAAAUCAGGGCUUGCUGGCCGUCACGUGAGUGUGAUGUAACCAAAAGUGCGAUACAGAAGCAAAGGAUAUAAUAAAUACGAAGGAAUAAAAAACCAACUACUAACAGUAAAAACCAACUAGUGUGCUAGAGUGAGUUAUAUAAUAAAACACACAAUUUAGAGCUUAGGUACUAGGUGCAGUCAAGUAAGACUAUAAUUAAAUUACAACACCCGCAGGUGAGUCCUACAUGCAGGGUGUCUGUCAGAACGCCGAAGAGAACCUCAUGAGCCACCAACUGCUAGCUAGAACCUGGAGGGGCGCAAAAACAAAAUUGAGUGGGUCAGUAAAACCAAAGCUUUCCAAAACAUUACAUUUAAAAUGUCUCUAACCCCUCACUGUAAAACCUGUAUACUUUCCCAGAAAAAUAGUAUAUAAACAUAUAUAUAUCAUCAAAAACUCAACUCACAAUCCUUCACCGCUUUUCAGAAAGAAGAUUCCACGCCAUGCCAAAAUAUAAUAUGAAUGCAUAAAUAUAAAUCAGGUGAAAUAAUAAAUCAACCGGAGACCCUACAAUGGUCCUGUACGGCUGAUUCUAUAGUUUAAUAUCCCAUCCAGUCAGAGUCACCCACUGUGACCUGUACGGCUCUGCCGAAGUCACAAAUUGCGACUUGUACGACACUACACUGCACAUAAGUCGGAACUACCUAUAGUAGUCUGUACGACUAUGAUGGUGAAAUAAUACGCUAUAGUGCUUCUCUCAUCAAUCAUCUGCGCGUGUAAUCUAAGGUCACCUACUAGUCGGAACCACCUCUAGUGGUUUGUACGACUAGCAUGUCGGAACCCUCUCGGGGUCUGUACAACAUGCACCUACUUGGAUCCAAGGUGAGCGUGCGGUGCGGUGAAUAAUAUAAGCACUAACACCAAGGGUGCAGAUUAUGAGUUCUCAACACCAUUCACAUUAUCGAUGAUUCACAUGAUUAACAUAAAACUCACCUGAUACUCACUUGUGAAUCCACAGCACCAAUUCACAGAUAUAUAUAUGCAUUAAUAUCAAUUCAUAAUAUUCAUAAUAUGCAUGCAUGGCAAUUGAAAACGUACUUUCAUAUAAAUUCAAUUUCUGGGAAAAUUAAUAGUAUAUAGGUAUAUACGAAAACAAAACUGCCCAUUCACUGGUAAGUCGAUGGGUCGUAGCCCUCGUGACGUCCCUGGAUGCGCUCGUCCUCGGGAUAGGUGUCACCUAUAUGCGAAACAACUAUAAAAACGUUAAUUAAUGCACAUAACCGACAAUUCGAAAUAACUUCUCAUACGGUGCUCAAUUUGGGUAUAUGAAUAUACCACAUCGACCUACUCGACGUCACGAACGUCGAGAAAUUUUUAGAAUUUUUUUUUGACGUGGCACGCGCCCCCACGCACCAGGGAAGGCACGGGUACACGCACCCCCCACGCGCAUCUUCUUCCUUGGUUCGCCGAACUGUGUUUUCCGGUGGUCGGAAAACUGGGGAUUUUUCAAUCCCCUUGUUCUCCCUCAUUUCUCAACCGUUUUCUUCGUAUUUUAUAUCAAUUUGAAGCCCUCAACAUGUAGAAUCACGAUAGACUAGUUUCAAGGUCUAAAAUCCACUAGAUUUUACCUGAGAAAGCUCGAUAAUCCGACCAAAUUUGAAAAACUCCGUUGUCAGUCCUCCGACGUCCAAAUUCUACCAACGAAGUACCCCGAAGCUCGUGAGGAUCUCCUUAAGUUCACUAUGAGCUUUAAAUUCCCUGAAAUGCAAGAUUUUAUGUGUGCAUGGACAGUGCACAUUUUCGGGUUAGGGUUUCACGACGAUUCUGUGGGUUUUAACUUCCACAAAUCACAUAUACGAACUCACAAGCUUACUAGGAGUUCAAAUCUUACCUUAGAACCUUUGAUCCGUGAAGAAAUGGGAGGUUCCUAGCUUGUCCGUACAAUUCGAGAGGGAGAGAGAGAGAGAGAAAGCCGUGAUGGAGGAGAGAGAGAGACACGGGGGAGGGAGAGAGGGAAGGAAGUGUGUGGUCCAUCACAACCCCUCACCAUCCAUUUCUUUUUCCUAACUCCCUAACCACAUAAAUUACAAACCAACAUUUUAAUCCCACUUAAUAAUUUUAUAAAAACUUAUGAAAUAAAUGUAUUUAGUCCAAAAGAUAUGUCACACAUACACAUACCUUAAUACCCGUCAAGGGUAAUUUCGUCAUUUUACGUCCCCGAU